RNAcentral lists this transfer RNA (73 nucleotides) under Schistocephalus solidus. It matches the Rfam family "tRNA". From Rfam's summary of the family: Transfer RNA (tRNA) molecules are approximately 80 nucleotides in length. Their secondary structure includes four short double-helical elements and three loops (D, anti-codon, and T loops). The record is from Rfam by way of RNAcentral. Lineage: Eukaryota; Metazoa; Platyhelminthes; Cestoda; Diphyllobothriidea; Diphyllobothriidae.
GAACCCAUAGCUCAAUGAUUAGAGCAUUGGACUUCUAAUCAACAGGGCGCGGAUUCAAGCCUCGUGUGAUUCA